Molecule: long non-coding RNA, 1009 nt
Organism: Bos taurus (domestic cattle)
Lineage: Eukaryota; Metazoa; Chordata; Mammalia; Artiodactyla; Bovidae
Source: Ensembl
UGGGGAAGAGGGAAAAGUACAGAGAUGUAAAUGCAGUUCUCCCGGUCCCACCAGCGGGUGACUCAUCCACUCAGGGAGAACUGGCUUGUCUGUAACACAGAGAGAACCAUUUUUAUUUCUGCCACUUGGGAUUUUUGCAGUCCCUAGAAGAGACCUUUGGCUUGAGAAGAGCAAGUAGAAGGCAUGGCCUGAACUCAGAUGCCCGCUUUCUCAUUCUCUGGUCCCCGCUCUUUCCAUGAUGGCUCAGUGACUGAUGAUCAGGCACAGAGAAGCGAAAUGACAGCUCCAAGACCACAUACGCAGUCUCAGUACAGUGCUCUCUCCACCGUGCUACAUUAUUUGUUCCAGAAAACACCUAAGCCACACAUUGUUUUGCAGACCAAAGAAACUGGCUUUAUUUAGGGCCAUGCUCACGGUCUGCCAGGCUUCCAGUGUGAACACGAGGCCUUGAUUUGCUACCACCAGCAGCUUUUGAAUGAAUUACCUUGUGAUGCCUUAUGUCAAAAGUAGUGUCACAGAUAGAACCCAAACAUCUGUAAAGGGGGUUACCUGGCACAACCUCUCCACGGCAUGAAACCAGAGCAAUGCUGUGCCAUUCACCCCAUUACGAGAGGAGCCGCAUCCAAAAUAUGUAUGAAAUAGUUUUGUCCACUGCGCACCCAAUGGUUCAUCAGAUGGGAAUGGACCAAGCCCCUUGUGAAACAGCAAAACUCAGGGUAAGAACGGCCCAUGACACAACCUGAGGCAAAGAGCUUUACUGGUAUGUGCAAGGUAGGUUUUCACUGCUCACAUGUGGUUGGUUUGUUGUUGUUUUAUAUCCACCAUGGAAGACGCCUCAGUCCUAAACAAAGAUUGUAGGAAAAUCUGGUAUUAAGCGGGACGUUUCCUUUGCUUGUGAGUCCAUUAUGGCUAACAGUUACCUCCCUGCCAUUCUGUCUUCUACUCCUCCUGCCUGGAAGGUUCUCCCCAUCUCCCCUGCCUCAGUUUCCUCUCAAGAUUUAAGUGUCAC